CCCCGCGGCGCGAGCCGACGCCGGCGCCCAAUCCGCUCCGCCCGGAGUGCGCUCCCCGCGUGCUAUUGGCCCUCCCUUUUCCGGGGGCGGGGCUAGGAGAAGGGCGUCGGGCUCGCGUCUGGCCAAUCGGCGGGCGCGAAGCGCGCGCCCCUGGUUGCCCCUGGAAACCUAACAGCGGCGGCCGGGAAGGUGGCGUGAGCCCAGCCGGAGCAAAAUGGACAGCGCCCCUGGGCCCCCGGACGACUCGGAGGAGGAAAAUAGGGACACCCCGGAAGGCGGGGGCAGCUCCGGCCUCCAGUCCGCGACCGAACUGGCCUGGUCGGUCUCGGGGUCGGAAGCGGGGGCCGCAGAGGCCUCGGAGGAAAUCGCCCUACAAGCAGCGGUCCCCGAGGCCUGGGAGGAACCGGCGGCCGCGGAGGCGGAGGGAGAGGAGGGGUCGGGGGCGUCGGAAGAGCCAGCCCAGGCCCAGGCGGAGUCCGAGGAGCAGGAGAAGCCGGCGAGGACAGCCGGGGAUGAGGCCGAGGAGACAGCCCAACCGCUGUCCGAAGGCGAGGCCGAGGAAGCCGAGGCCGGGGAGGAAGAGGAGGAAGAGCAAGCGGAGGAGGAGAUAGAGCAGGAGCUGGAGGAAGAGAAGAGCAAGAAGGAGGCGGCGGCGGCCGAAAAGGAGGAGGUGGAGGAGAACCAGGAGGAGGAGGAGGAGGAGGAGGAAGAGGAGGAGGAGGCUGCGGCAGCGUAUCUGCUGCGGAGGAAGAAAAGCCUGCCCCGGGGCGCCCUCUCCGAGGCAGUGACAGCCCGCAAGGAGGCGGUGCCCGGGGAGGAGGAGCUCGAGGGCGGCGAGGAAGAGGAGGAAGAGGAGGGGGCGGCUGACAGAUUAACGCCGGCGUCAGUGCAGAAGGGGCACGUGUACGGGGAGCGCCCCGAGGAGGAGCAGGGGCCGGAGGAGGGGGAAGGCAAGGCGUGGGUCCCGGAGACGGAGAAAGAGCAGGAGGAGCAGCUGCGCUUGGAGCUCAUCCAACAGUACAACGCGCUGAUGGCCGAGCGCAGCCGCUACCAGCGCUACAACUUCUUCUUGCAGUAUAAGAUCAGCGAAGCGCUGCGCAGGAAGGGCCAGGACGCCGUCGCCGCCGCCGCCGAGACGGACAAGGUGGCCGAGGAGUCCCCCGAGAAGGAGCAGACCUACCUGGGCUACGUGGCCAUGCUGGAGGACCUGCGGAAGCAGCAGGCGGACGAUCUGGACUGGUACCACCAGGAGCUGGAGCAGCUGAAGCAGCAGUGCAGGUACACGCUGGAGCAGGCCGACAAGGACUGGAGAAGGUUCCAGGCCCUGAAGAAACAGGUGGUGAUGCAGGCCAUGGGCAGCUGCCGGAUGACAGGCGGGCGGCAGGAGGCGCUGCGGCAGGUGGAGCAGAUCCAGGCACUGGAGGACAGGAAGGAGAAGGAGAUGAGCGCUGUGAGGCUGGAGAACGUGCAGCUGAAGCAGUGCUUGGUGCACUUCGAGACCAGGAUGAGGGCCCAGGAGGACCUGACCCAGGGCCUGCACCUCAUCGACUUUGAGCAGCUGAAGAUCGAGAACCAGACGUAUAACGAGAAGGUGGAGGAGCGGAACGAGGAGCUCCUGAAGCUGCGCAGCAAGGUCAGCAACAACGUGCAGACAGUGACGCACGUGAAGGAGAAGCUGCACUUCGUGGACAGAGAGAACAUGAGCAAGAAGGUGCAGCUGCAGGAAAUGGAGGAGCAGGUGGCCCUCCGGAGGGACAUCCUGACCAAGACCAAGCAAGCCCGCGACAGCCUGCGGUUGGAGAACAUCAAGCUGAACCAGAGGUGUGGGCUCCUGGGCAAGCACACGCUCCUCCAGGACCUGGAGGACAAGGUGGACAAGACGGAGCUGCUCAGGGAGCGGCUGGAGUCGCUGAAGCGGCACCACGCCAGCCUCAUGCUGUCCUGCAGGGGCAUGAAGCAGAAGAUCAGGGAGGCCAAGGCCUUUGUCCCCUCCUGAGUGAUGGAGAAGACGUGCUGCCAGCUGAUGGCUGUGCACUCAAGAGUGUCAGCCACAAGCUCUGUCCAGGGCCCCUGAUACUCGGGAUGGAGCCACAUUUUGUCACAAUCCCAAACUUGCUGCUCCCCCAAGUGCCUGCACUGGCCGAGAGCAGCACUUUACUAUGGAUUCUGCGGACUGGACUGGAGAUGCAGCCAGAGUCACCCGAAGGGACUGGCGAUCUAAGAAGCUGUCCAAAGUCUUUCGCAAGUGACCCCAGGAUAUUGAUGGCCCCUUCAAACUGAGAAGGAUGCUUCCUCUCGCAUGUGCAGGAGGGUUUAAAAGUUCAACCAGUGGGCUGGGUCCCCUCCACGCCCGCAAAAGCUGCUGGUGUGAAUUAAACAAACAGAGGACUCAGCCCACAGGGACCCUUCUGUGUGCACCGGUAGAAUGCCAGGACUUGAUGCCCUCUGGGUGAGCCCAUGAUUUUACUCCAAAUCAACAGUCACUUGUCUCUUCUGCCUCCUGUUCACGGAACAAUGCCUGAUGUUCUAGCACCUUCAUCCAGAAUCCAGAGUGAACACCUUCGCUUUCCUUUGGUGCUGUGGGAACUACUAGGGCCUUGGUUUCAUUUCUCCCAUCACAGAGUGAACUGGAGGUGGGGCUCAGGGUUAGACGCAUGCUCACUCUCCCUCCUGGCGUGCAAAUUCCUGCCUUCUGUCUCUGGUAUGCAUGUGCCUGCACUGGCUUUUCCCAGCUGGAAGCGGAAUAGCUCGAGUUCGGCUGAAUCCACUUACAAGUGGUCAGUUGGGAAAUACCCCUUAUUAUUAUAUUUUUGCUUUUUGGGUCACACCCGGCAAUGCACAGGGGUUACUCCUGGCUCUGCACUCAGGAAUUACCCUUGGCGGUGCUUAGGGGACCAUAUGGGAUGCUGGGAAUCAAACCCGGGUUGGCCGCGUGCAAGGCAAACGCCCUACCCGCUGUGCUAUUGCUCCAGCCCCUAUCUCAUAAUUUUGAUGACACAAUUUUAUUUCUAAAGUAUGUUCCUUUAGAGGCCACUAAAGGUUGAUUAAAAUUCUAACCUGCAUGGCCUGAAUAUGACUUUAAAAGAAUAUAGUCUUCUUGAGCUGCACAUGCUCACCCUCAUGCGCACGUGUUCAUUCACACACACACACACACACACACACACACACACACACACACAUACACUCCCUCUCUCAUGCUCCCUUCCCACUGUUCAAGACUCUGAAGAAGUGAACUACUGGCUGAUCAUAUCAGAUCGCACUCUUUCUGCCUUGGGUAGUGCCCCCCAAUCCUGCCCUUCUCCUCCAUCCUGGAGAGGGCCCCAGGCGGGUGGGUGGCACCAGGCCCUUGGUGGUGGCAGCUCUGGGCUGCUCUCCUUGGCUCCCAGCUUACCUCUAGGGAGAACAAACUUAUUAUUCAGCCAACCUGGAGCCACUGGCUCCAACCCUUCCCCUUUCACUCGCGAGCAGACAGCAGCCUCGGCGGAGACCGGCCUUCGGGCCUGGCGUUCAGCGCGGGGUGGAGCCGAGGGAGCGCUUCACGCAGGAGAUGCCACCACAGGAAGGAAGAUCCUCACCCACUGCCCUGUGACCAAGGUUCUCUGGACUGAGAUGAGAGGAGCGCGCUCAUGGGACAGCUCCCUGCCCCUGCCAGGUCCCUGGGCUCGGGCACUGCCCAUGUCCUCGGCUCAGGGGCCAGGGAGCUCUAACCCGGAGAAAUGAAGACGGGGCCACGGGCUGUGCGUUAGCACCUGCCCUGCCGGCACUGAAUCUGGAGCCUGUGGCCCAGGGCCUGAAAUAAGCGGUACUUGCAUGAAGCACGCAUCCCAGAGGGCAGCCACAUGGAUGGAGGCGGGCAGGCUCAGUGAUGGUCGGGCUGCCCAACAGAUGAUGUCCACAAGUCAAAGCUGCCUCGCAUGCUCGGGGAGAAGGUAGCUCAGAUAGAGAAGGGACCACCAAGUAAAGGAUGCUUGGAGGGCCUGCUUGGGAUGGGAGAUGCGUGCUGAAAGUAGGCUAUAGACCGAGCAUGACGGCCACUUAGUACCUGUAUCGAAAAUCAUAGCAACCAAAAGAGAGAAUAAAAGGGAAU
Molecule: RNA transcript, 4087 nt
Organism: Sorex araneus (European shrew)
Lineage: Eukaryota; Metazoa; Chordata; Mammalia; Eulipotyphla; Soricidae
Gene: CFAP184
Gene name: coiled-coil domain containing 96
Exons: 2
Source: RefSeq, a predicted model, not a curated record